CUGUCCGAUGCCAAAGUGCCCGAUGCCCAGGCCGGGUAUGAAAAAGCCCUGACCUCGGUGCUGGCAUCCAUGGGCGGCUCCAACUACAUCCAUCACAGUGCCG
This is a regulatory RNA element of Desulfotignum phosphitoxidans DSM 13687, 103 nucleotides long. It matches the Rfam family "Pyrrolysine insertion sequence mttB". NCBI's taxonomy places the organism in Bacteria, Pseudomonadati, Thermodesulfobacteriota, Desulfobacteria, Desulfobacterales, Desulfobacteraceae. The record is from Rfam.